RNAcentral lists this signal recognition particle RNA (283 nucleotides) under Nannospalax galili (Upper Galilee mountains blind mole rat). RNAcentral describes it as "Metazoan signal recognition particle RNA (ENSNGAG00000005106.1)". It matches the Rfam family "Metazoan signal recognition particle RNA". From Rfam's summary of the family: The signal recognition particle (SRP) is a universally conserved ribonucleoprotein. It is involved in the co-translational targeting of proteins to membranes. The record is from RNAcentral. Lineage: Eukaryota; Metazoa; Chordata; Mammalia; Rodentia; Spalacidae.
UGGCAUGGUGGCACAGCCUGUAGUCCCAGCUACUCGGGAAGAUAAGGCAGGAGGAUUGCUUGAGUACAGGAGUUCUGAGCUGUAGUGCUACUAUGCCAAUUGGGUGUCUGUACUAAAUCUGGCAUUAAUAUGGUGACCUCCUGGGAGAAGGGGACUACCACGUUGCCUAAGGAGGGUGAACCAGCCCAGAUCAGAAACCGAGCAAGUCAAAACUCCUGUGUUGAUCAGAAAAAGGUAUGUGGGAUUCAAUUAAGUAUUUACUAAAUAGGAAUUUUAUUUAUUU